UACAGAGGUCCCGAGCGUUGUUCGGAUUCAUUGGGCGUAAAGGGUGCGUAGGUGGCGCUGUAAGUGGGGUGUGAAAUCCCGGGGCUUAACUCCGGAACUGCGUUCCAUACUGCGGUGCUUGAGGACUGGAGAGGAGACUGGAAUUUACGGUGUAGCAGUGAAAUGCGUAGAGAUCCGGAAGAACACCGGUGGCGAAGGCGGUCGACUGGGCCAGUACUGACGCUGAGGCGCGACAGCGUGGGGAGCAAACAGG
RNAcentral lists this ribosomal RNA (253 nucleotides) under uncultured bacterium. Its description in RNAcentral is "partial 16S ribosomal RNA". It matches the Rfam family "Bacterial small subunit ribosomal RNA", at positions 524 to 776 of the family's 1533-position model. The record is from RNAcentral.